Molecule: non-coding RNA, 73 nt
Organism: Phrynosoma platyrhinos (Desert horned lizard)
Lineage: Eukaryota; Metazoa; Chordata; Lepidosauria; Squamata; Phrynosomatidae
Source: the annotation of a GenBank genome assembly
GGCUAGUAUGGUGUAGUGGUUUGAGUGUUGGACUACAACUCUGGAGACCAGGGUUCGAUUCUCAGCUCAGCCA